RNAcentral lists this ribosomal RNA (206 nucleotides) under uncultured bacterium. RNAcentral's name for it is "partial 16S ribosomal RNA". It matches the Rfam family "Bacterial small subunit ribosomal RNA", at positions 568 to 774 of the family's 1533-position model. The record is from RNAcentral.
AGCGUAGGCGGGAUUGCAAGUCAGAUGUGAAAACUAUGGGCUUAACCCAUAGACUGCAUUUGAAACUGUAGUUCUUGAGUGAAGUAGAGGUAAGCGGAAUUCCUGGUGUAGCGGUGAAAUGCGUAGAUAUCAGGAAGAACAUCGGUGGCGAAGGCGGCUUACUGGGCUUUUACUGACGCUGAGGCUCGAAAGCGUGGGAGCAAACA